RNAcentral lists this long non-coding RNA (285 nucleotides) under Ricinus communis (castor bean). RNAcentral describes it as "long non-coding RNA (RCOM_LNC003793)". Lineage: Eukaryota; Viridiplantae; Streptophyta; Magnoliopsida; Malpighiales; Euphorbiaceae. The record is from RNAcentral.
ACUGCCUCCUACAUUCUUUAGACAACAGCCACUAUUCUGUCUUUCCUUAUUUUUCUGUUCUUUUGUUGUCUCUUUUAGUAGGCCAAUAUGGAGGACGAAGAGGCCUAUUAAAAGAGACUUAUCUCCACUUCUUCAAGUUUCUUCCUCCAGUAAGAACAAAAUAAUUCUUCUAAGAGAAGAAAAAGGAGAGCUUUUGUUUAAAGUUUUCAUUUCUUUGGAGCUCUCUUAUUUCUUCUUAAUUCAAGUUUUCUUGUUUUUGUCAUUUAACCAUGGCCGACAUUUCCU